Molecule: unclassified non-coding RNA, 2958 nt
Filed under: Zea mays
Lineage: Eukaryota; Viridiplantae; Streptophyta; Magnoliopsida; Poales; Poaceae
Description: misc RNA Zm00001eb092740
Source: RNAcentral
CGUCCGACAAGCUUUGGUCUCAAAGUUGGGAGUUCGCGUGGAGGAGAAGCGCGCGCCAUGAAUGGAAUGAACCCCCGCGCGCCCUGAUCCGACGGCCAGCACGUCGUCCGCUAGCCUUGAAACCGAAGCAUCCUCCUCCUCGCCCGCCGCCCCGCUCCGGCAGUUACCAGUCGGCUCUCUCGUGCUCUCUGCCUGCAGGCUGCAGCGGCGCCCGUCCGGUCGCCUUGCCACGUCGCCGCCCGCGCCCACCACCUGAGGCCGGUCGCCCAUCCAUAACGCCCACUCCCGCAGUCCAGUCCCCACCUCUUCUCUCACAUCACAGAGUCGCACGCACGCCUCCUCCCCUCCCUCCCCCCCUCACUUCCCACGCCUCCUCACCGCGCGCAGAUCGGAGGAAUGGUGAGCGCGUCGAGCCUGCUCCUCCCGACCUCCGUGCGGGACCUGGCCUCCUGCGUCUCCGACGGCGCCGUCCGCGUCGCCUGCACCAGCCCGGCGUCCACGCUCACGGUCUCCUCCUCCUCCUCCACCACCUCCUCGCCGCCGCCGGCCACGCUCUCCGUCGCCAUCUCCUACCGCGCCACCCCGCAGGCCCCGUCGUCGCCGCCGCUCUUGCUGCGCCUCACCUGGUCGCACUCCCGGCACGGGCCCCCGACGCUCUCCUUCGCCGGACCCACCGCGUCGUCCCCCGCCGUCCUCCUCCGCCGCCGCAGGGGCACCUACUGCCUCCCCUCCUCCACCUCCACAUCCACCCACAUCCCCCCGCUCGCUCUCUUCUGGGACCUAACCGCCGCCAGGUACAGUCCGGCCUCGUCCCCGUCCCCGGAGCCAGCCUCCGGGUUCUACGUCGUCGCCGUCGCCAGCGCCGAGGUGGUGCUGGCCGUGGGCGACCUGGCGGCGGAGUUCAUCAAGGCGAAGUUCGAGGGCCAGAUCCCCUGGGCGCGGUCCAUCCUCCCCGUGUCCCGCACCGACCGGGUCGUGGCGGCGGCGCCGCGGCCGGGCGGGGCGGUUCACACGGCGCGGGUCCGGUUCGGCGAGGGCGCGCCGGAGCACGAGGUGGCCGUGGGCUGCUGCCGCGCCGGCGCCGGCAGGCCCGGGGAGGAGGAGCUCUGGGUCAGCGUGGACGGCAAGCGCGCCGUGCACGCGCGGCGCCUGCGCUGGAACUUCCGGGGCAACCAGACGGUGUUCGUGGACGGGGCGCCCGUCGACGUCCUGUGGGACCUCCACGGCUGGUGGUUCCAGGACCCGCCCGGCUGCGCCGUCGUGAUGCUCCGCGCCAGGAGCGCGCUCGAGAGCCGGCUCUGGCUGGAGGAGGAGGCCAGGGCGCCCGGGUUCGCGCUCCUCGUGCAGGCCUUGAGGACGCCGCCCUGAUCUUGGUGGUCCUUUGAAUCCUGAUGAAGAGGUCAAAUGCUCACUGCCUGCUGGUUGAUCAUGUUUCCUUUUGACUAGGGAAUUUGGUGGGUGGUAUUUAGCAAACCAAACCAAAUCCAGCCGGGGGGGAAUGGUGGCUGCGUUGGCAAUCUAGACGUUUUUAGGUUCCGGUGUGUGGAAUGGGUUUGGGAAGGACACCAUGGAUUUUCAUGUGGUUUUGGUAUACCAAGAGGAGAUAUAUUGAUCUGUGACUGCUGUUUGGGUCAUCUUCUUUCUGUCUGUCUGUAUGUCUUUUCUUCUAAAAACUUGCUGCUUGUUAUUUCCCGAUAAUUUGCAGCUCUAUGAGGUCUGUGCUCGUACAGUUUAACAAAGGAUUAUACAGUAUCAUCAUAGGGUGUGCCUUGAUUCAGCAUUACCAACUAUAUGUAUUGAUUAUACAAUUGCUCUUCACUGUUUAUACGGAGUGCUGCAGUAACAGUGAUGCAGGUGAUUCCAGCACCAUUCCUAGUACAGCGGCACAGUGCGAGCAGUGCCUCCCCUCAAUGGAUUCCCGCACCAUCUCCGCCAGACAUAUCGUACUGUUUACCAAAGAUCCGCUACAUGUUUUCCAGUGCUGUUUACCUGUGUUUGCAGUCUACCUCAUCAUUCCCAUGCCACCACCCGUUUGGUUCUAGCAUGUUGUUACUUGAUUAUGUUUAGUUUCUGCAGGCGCGCGCACACACACAGCGAUGUGUCCCUGUCAUGAUUUAUGGCCACAUGACUGGGUCCCCCAAAUACAGAGAGAGAGAGCAUGGGAGAGGGGGGCGUCAAUGGAAGGAACACGCACUUGGCGUUGGUUGGUCCCAACUUGACCCAGCAUCCAAAACAAGCUGAGGGGUUGAUGGCAUAUAUAUCGGAUUAUUGCUUUGCUUCUCAGAGCUUGCUUGCCUUCCCAGAUCCUGUUGCGUGCCUUUUUGUGCUCUGGCUUUGUUUUAUCUGAUGCACUUGGCGUAGAGCAGCAGGCGAAAGAGACUGAUGGCGCUGCCACCUAUCGUGCGUGCGAGCAUAUCACCGAAUCUGUCACUCCCUCCGUUUUUUAAAAUACACAUUGCGGUUUUUAAAUAAAUAAUUAAAUUGUAUAAAUGUUAUUUAUUUUUGUUCUGACUUAUUUUAUCAUUAGAGAUAUUUUAGUAACAACUUAUUUAUUCCAUUAUUUGCGAGAGAGAGAAAAAAAUAUGCUCCGGAUCCGGAUGGCAGCUUCACCAAACAGGCCAUAUACACAUACAGACGCUCAGGGGGGGCAGGCACCGUUCCGGAAUCCAGGACGACGACGACGGUUCCCGGCACGGCACGGGACGCCGGGCGCCGGCAGCCAUGGAUGGAUGGAUGGAUAUAUGUGAUCGAGCUGUAUGGCCUAGGUAUUUUUUUGGAGUUGGGGAUGGCCGACAAAUGCAGCGCUGCUUUCACGGUCCAUGAACACGUUGCUUCCAGGCUAAAUUACGCAGCGUGUAAGACGUAUUGUAAUGCUGCUUUGCUUGGUUGCUGUCCAGCACUUCGCGCUGUUUCAGGUAUGUAUGGCUGCGUUUAGGUUAAUUCUCCUCUUCAGCACGG